Molecule: ribosomal RNA, 462 nt
Filed under: Peptostreptococcaceae bacterium canine oral taxon 066
Lineage: Bacteria; Bacillati; Bacillota; Clostridia; Peptostreptococcales; Peptostreptococcaceae
Description: bacterial SSU rRNA
Rfam family: Bacterial small subunit ribosomal RNA
Source: RNAcentral
GAGUUUGAUUCUGGCUCAGGAGGAACGCUGGCGGCGUGCCUAACACAUGCAAGUCGAGCGAGAAAUAAAGAAACGGAGAAUUCGUUCAAAGAUUCUUUAUGGAAAGCGGCGGACGGGUGAGUAACGCGUAGGCAACCUGCCUCAUACAAAGGGAUAGCCUCGGGAAACCGGGAUUAAAACCUUAUAAAACCGAAGGAGCACAUGCUUCAUCGGUCAAAGAUUUAUCGGUAUGAGAUGGGCCUGCGUCUGAUUAGCUGGUUGGUGAGGUAACGGCUCACCAAGGCGACGAUCAGUAGCCGACCUGAGAGGGUAAACGGCCACAUUGGAACUGAGACACGGUCCAAACUCCUACGGGAGGCAGCAGUGGGGAAUAUUGCACAAUGGGCGAAAGCCUGAUGCAGCAACGCCGCGUGAGUGAUGAAGGCCCUUGGGUCGUAAAACUCUGUGAGAGGGAAGAAAAAA